This 1106-nucleotide long non-coding RNA is filed under the name Homo sapiens (human). RNAcentral's name for it is "non-protein coding lnc-ZNF277-3:1". The record is from RNAcentral. Lineage: Eukaryota; Metazoa; Chordata; Mammalia; Primates; Hominidae.
AUGACGAAUACCCGCAAAAGACACCCGCUAAUAAAAAUUAACUAUUCAGUCAUUGAUCUUCCCACAGCCUCCAGCAUUUCUACCUGAUGAAACUUUGGCUCACUUCUUGGUGCCUGCCUAAUUCUCCAAAUCAUCACAGGAUUAUUUUUGGCCAUGCACUGUUCAUCAGACACCUCAACUGCCUUCUCUUCAGUCACUCAUAUCAGCUGAGAGGUAAACUACGGAUAAAUGGUCUGCUAUUUUCAUGCUAAUGGUGCUUCAAUAUUUUUCAUCUGCCUCUUCUUACACAUUGGCCAAGGGUUAUACUACGGGUCAUUACUAUUCCCAGAAACCUGAAAUAUUGGCAUUAUUCUCCUAUUCACAACUAUAGCAACAACAUUCAUAGGCUAUGUGCUCCCAUGAGCCCAAAUAUCAUUCUGAGGCACUACAGUAAUUACAAAUUUACUAUCAGCCAUCCCAUAUAUUGGAACUGACUUUGUACAAUGAAUCUGAGGGGGAUUCUCAUUUGACAAAGCCACCCUCACACGAUUUUUUGCCUUCCAUUUCAUCUUACCUUUCGUCAUUACAGCUCUAGCAACUGUUCACCUUUUAUUCUUGCAUGAAACAGAAUCUAACAACCCUUCAGGAGUUUCAUCAGACCCCGACAAAAUCACUUCCCCCCGACAAUAUACAACCAAAGAUGUUCUAGGUUUAAUUUUUCUCCUCCUCCUUCCCGACCUCCUGAGCGACCCAGAUAAUUACACUUUAGCCAACCCCCUCAAUACCCCACCCCACAUUAAGCCAGAGCGGUACUUUUUGUUUGCAUAUGCAAUCUUACGAUCUAUCCCUAACAAAUUAGGAGGCGUACUGGCCCUCGUAUAUUCCAUUCUCAUUCUAGCAGUUAUUCCAGUACUUCACAUGUCUAAACAACAAAGCAUAAUAAGUUAUUAAGUCAAUGCCUAUUCUGAAUCCUAGUGGCUGACCUGCUUACACUCACAUGAAUCAGAGGGCAGCCAGUCAAAUAUCCUUUCAUUGCCAUCGGACAGACAGCAUCUAUCAUGUACUUCUCUACCAUUCUCACCCUUAUACCACUCACUACCGUAAUUGAAAAUAAACUUCUUAAAUGA